AUGGACGCCGACGUUGAGAACCAGGAGGUCAUGGCCGACGGAGACCCGGAGGCCGAGGAGAGGAAGCGCAACGCCCGGAUGUGGUGCGAGGCCGUGCUCUUCACCGUCCCGGUCACCAUCCUCCUUGUCACCUGGUUCGUGCUCGGCUCGCCGCGGCCGCGUUACUACAUCACGAUCCGCUCCGUCUCCGGCCUCGACGCCCCUGCGGCGGCGGCGCUCGGGGUGGUCGACCCGACGUUCAACCUUACCCUCGGCGUGGCCUCGAGGAACUACGAAGAGAGCGCCUGUGUGGACCAAGACACGUUCGUGGAGGUGGCCUACCGCGGUGUCCCACUCGCCAGUGCCACGGUAGGGCGGCUCUGCGCCGGGCCACGGAUGGCGACUGAACGGCCUGUGGUAGCCAGGGGGGAGGCGGUGCAUGUUCCGGAGACUGUGAUGGAUGCCCUAGUGGAGGAGAUGAGGCAAGGGGCGGCGGUGUUCGACGUCGCGCUCAAGCUCCCGGGGGAGAUCGAUGGGAGGAGGUUGGGGAGGAGGUGCCGUGUUCGGGCCGCCGCCACUGCCGCUGCCAUGUGCACUAGUGAUCUCUAUUGGAUGGACCUCUAG
Molecule: ribosomal RNA, 603 nt
Filed under: Triticum aestivum (bread wheat)
Lineage: Eukaryota; Viridiplantae; Streptophyta; Magnoliopsida; Poales; Poaceae
Description: partial small subunit ribosomal RNA
Source: RNAcentral